RNAcentral lists this ribosomal RNA (253 nucleotides) under uncultured bacterium. Its description in RNAcentral is "partial 16S ribosomal RNA". It matches the Rfam family "Bacterial small subunit ribosomal RNA", at positions 524 to 776 of the family's 1533-position model. The record is from RNAcentral.
UACGUAGGGUGCGAGCGUUAAUCGGAAUUACUGGGCGUAAAGGGUGCGCAGGCGGUUUUGUAAGCCAGAUGUGAAAUCCCCGGGCUCAACCUGGGAACUGCAUUUGGGACUGCAAGGCUGGAGUACGGCAGAGGGGGGUAGAAUUCCUGGUGUAGCAGUGAAAUGCGUAGAUAUCAGGAGGAAUACCGAUGGCGAAGGCAGCCCCCUGGGUCGAUACUGACGCUCAUGCACGAAAGCGUGGGGAGCAAACAGG